GACGAACGCUGGCGGCGCGCUUAACACAUGCAAGUCGAACGGAAAGGCCUGCUUUCCCUUGUGGAUUGCGGGUACUCGAGUGGCGAACGGGUGAGUAACACGUGAGUGAUCUGCCCCCAACUUGGGUAUAAGCCUGGGAAACUGGGUCUAAUUCCCGAUAGGACUGCAGGGUGGUGCCUGUGGUGGAAAACGAUUUUCUAGUGGUUGGGGAUGAGCUCGCGGCCUAUCAGCUUGUUGGUGGGGUAAUGGCCUACCAAGGCGGCGACGGGUAGCCGGCCUGAGAGGGUGGACGGGAACAGUGGAACGGAGAUACGGCCCAGACGCCUACGGGAGGCAGCAGAGGGGAGUAUUGCGCGAUGAGCGGAAGCCUGAGGCAGCGACGCCGCGUGGGGGAUGACGGGCUUCGGGUUGUAAACUCCUUUCGACCGCGAGGAAGCCACCUGGUUGGAAGGGUGGUGACGGUAGUGGUAGAAGAAGCACCGGCUAACUACGUG
RNAcentral lists this ribosomal RNA (494 nucleotides) under uncultured bacterium. RNAcentral's name for it is "partial 16S ribosomal RNA". It matches the Rfam family "Bacterial small subunit ribosomal RNA", at positions 28 to 507 of the family's 1533-position model. The record is from RNAcentral.